AAUGUGUCAAAGAGACAAAAACCCUACUAAGAGCAGAAACCAGAUAAAAGGCCAACAAUAGGUCUUCAACACAGUGGGAAAAUCCUGCACCAGGAAGUAGAUGUCAGCUGGCCCUCAACAAAAAUGUGUACAGGUUCUUAAAAAAACAAAGGCAUACAUAUAUGAAGAAAACAAAUAAAUGAACUGUAUACUUUCUACUCGCGUCAUCAUACUAUGGCUUACAAUAGGGCCAUUAAAAGAAUAGGUUUGAUUGCCCUAAUACUACCUACCAGAA
This 274-nucleotide long non-coding RNA is filed under the name Mytilus galloprovincialis (Mediterranean mussel). The record is from RNAcentral. Lineage: Eukaryota; Metazoa; Mollusca; Bivalvia; Mytilida; Mytilidae.